RNAcentral lists this non-coding RNA (111 nucleotides) under Platyophrya macrostoma. The record is from RNAcentral. Lineage: Eukaryota; Ciliophora; Colpodea; Cyrtolophosidida; Platyophryidae.
UUUUUUUUUUUUUUUUGAAAUCAAAUCGAUCAAAGAAAGUCACAAAUGGUGAACGAAAAGGAAGAAAAGACCUUAAAUUCAAAGAGAGAUGUUUUUUUUUUUUUUUUUUUU